CAUCUGUCCGUCUGCUGCGUCAGUGGGGCGCCAGCUGGGCAGGCGAACCACGGAGGACAGGGAUUGGUCGAAAGGAUGGGCUCGUUAUUUAUCGAGGCCGCGAUAACAAUACAAGCAAUUUAAUUAUCUUUUGCGGUUGUUUCGUUGAGCUUAUCAGUUCAUUAACGGUUUAAUUCGUUUUGUUCGCCGAGAGUUUCAAAACAGACCCUCAUUUUCAUCGUAUUAUACCCAGCCCGACUUUCAAUAUUUGCUUGUGCAUGGCACAUUUUAUGCAAAUAAUCCUAAACGACGUUUUUUUACGAGCACAUUCGAAACUGUUCAUUUUCUCUCACUGUAAAGAACAUUCCAAAUAUGUAAUGUAAUUUACUGCAAAUUUAACGAUGACAUAUUUAAAAAUGCAUAUAAAGCGUAUAGGCCUAGGCUAUAACUAUUAUAUAUUUAGUAGGCUCUGUUACUGCGUGUGAUAUUCCCUUAGCUCGGCUCAGCUCAGGGCAUGCAGCUUCCCGAAAUGACCCACGUGUCCUCCCUGCAGUCAGCAAAUUCGCAGGCUUCUAAAUCGUGAUGCAGAAAAUAACAGUCGUGUUGGAGUCGCCGGGUGCAUUUGUGUCGGUGCUGAAAAAUAUCUCACUGUGGCUAAAAUCACACACCUGCGUGUCCUUAUGAAGUUGAGGGGGAAGCGGAAGGCGUGCCUUAAACUGAUGGUGAAUGAUCCCCAAACACACACGGAGAGGUUUUGCCCAUCGUUGUGACCCCUGCCUCGGCACAAUGCUCCUUUGUCAUGUGAGUCGCGGCCCUCUUCCGCUCACAGACCUCGCCGGCCUCCUCUCCUUGCGCGCCCCGCCGCGCCAGGGUGCGCCGAUCGUCUGGCGAACGGAUUUCAGGGGAAAUGCAGAACGCCGGCUAACAAUACGGCAGCGAGCAAGUGACCUAACUGGACCGAAGACAAUGGACAAAAGUGAUGCGGGAGUAUGGCCUUUGCGGUCGCACAAAUGGACACGUUAAAUAGCUAUUGUGCUGUAUCAUAUCUCCUCCUGGUUUAUUUAAUUAUAUUUUAUGCUAUUGUUGUCUGGGAAAAGGCACCGGCUAUACUUACAAUGGUCUGGAUUUAAAACGUGCUAACUGACACACAAUAAAGAAUGCGAGGUAUGAAACAUCCUUCAGUGUGGGUGUUAUUCCGGUUCAAGUGCAAUUAGUGGCCACUGGGCCCUUUAACCCUAAUUAGAAAAGCAAAUCGAUGUGUGAGCUGGCGCACACCUACAGCAUCUAUUGAUCGCAGCCUUUUAUCACUGAGUGUCCUUUUGUGUGCCUAUUGAAGUCCCUUUUCCUGGGAACCUGCACUGAUGUCCAAGUAUUUGAGUAUCAACACAAGUCCCUCUCACUGAUAUCUAGCUCUAUCUGUAUAUGCAUGCAUUUACUGGAAGACUUAUGCAGAUUGCAUAAACAACUCAUGUAUUUCACUCAGAAAUGUGCAUGCUUAUAAACCGGAUAACAUCUAGCCUACAAUAUUUUCCCCCUUGUUCAUAUUGAAAAUGGCUUUCCAGAUGCAACAGGAAUGUAAAGCUGUCUUAAUUUCUUUAUCUUUUACAUAUUUGUGCAUACAUUAUUAAAUUAA
This is a long non-coding RNA of Anguilla rostrata (American eel), 1612 nucleotides long. RefSeq lists it as uncharacterized. The record is from RefSeq and is a predicted model, not a curated record. NCBI's taxonomy places the organism in Eukaryota, Metazoa, Chordata, Actinopteri, Anguilliformes, Anguillidae. The transcript has 2 exons.